GCACGCCACUGCCCUGGUUUGUAUUCACAUUUAUGUUAAGCAAAAAAAAGACAAAAAAGAUAAAAUAAUAAUUAUUCUAACAGGGGGGGAAGACAAACUGUAACGUCACCGAUUAUAAUUUCUAUCCACUAAUUUCUUUGUGGAAUAUUUUGUGUGGAAUAUUUCAUAUUUUGCUCAGGUUAUUCGUUUUGAAAUCAGGUUAGCUGAACAUGUACAAUGAGUAUUUUAUAACUCUAAAUUUUAAUUAAUAAGGCCAUUUACCAAGAUGGCCUGAUUGACCAAUUAGGAAUGUUGCUCAUCAUAACAAAAGCGUAAAAAUCACCUGGCUCAAUUUUGAAACAUUCAUGCUUCUCCAUGUUUGGAUAAGGUCAUACAAAUACUGAAAUGGUUUAAUCACUUGAGGAAAGUGCAUGCCCUAAGCCGGCAUCUUGUUAUAUGUAGCUUGUCUUACUGACACUUUUUAAAAUAUAAAUUGUAGAAAUGCUGUCAUGGGAAGCUCCUGAUGCUGAAUGCAUCACAUCUUUAGCUGACCAGUGUUAUAAAGACAAAAGAAAAUGUUCCUGAAAUGUUGAGUGAUAACGAUAUGUCCAAAAUAUAUUCUGAUGAUGAAAAUUCUGAUGGAGAUGAUUUUGAUCCCAAUUUCACCAGAGGAUUUCUUGACGACUAUUACCGUAUUCGCAAAGACGUCACUGAAAAAUUAAAACAAUUUUCUUGGAUAAAUGGAUAUUGCGGGAUAACAUUCAACCCAGAACCACGUUUGUAUGUGACUGUAGUAAAGGAGAGAAAAUGAUGAAGAUUCUUUGAAGAAUGAGAUCAGCGACAAAUUUGGAUGGAAAGCGUCUGAUUAUAUUGAUUUUCGUUAUGCCAACAGCUCAUUACCGACGUUUCUAUAUUUGUCAAAUCAAGGUAAAAGAAAAUAAAUGUCAUAAUGCUAUGAA
Molecule: long non-coding RNA, 938 nt
Organism: Xenia sp. Carnegie-2017
Lineage: Eukaryota; Metazoa; Cnidaria; Anthozoa; Malacalcyonacea; Xeniidae
Exons: 5
Source: RefSeq, a predicted model, not a curated record